This 274-nucleotide ribosomal RNA is filed under the name uncultured bacterium. Its description in RNAcentral is "partial 16S ribosomal RNA". It matches the Rfam family "Bacterial small subunit ribosomal RNA", at positions 523 to 796 of the family's 1533-position model. The record is from RNAcentral.
AUACGGAGGGGGUUAGCGUUGUUCGGAAUUACUGGGCGUAAAGCGCACGUAGGCGGAUUGGAAAGGUGGGGGUGAAAUCCCAGGGCUCAACCCUGGAACUGCCUCCAAAACUAACAGUCUAGAGUUCGAGAGAGGUGAGUGGAAUUCCAAGUGUAGAGGUGAAAUUCGUAGAUAUUUGGAGGAACACCAGUGGCGAAGGCGGCUCACUGGCUCGAUACUGACGCUGAGGUGCGAAAGCGUGGGGAGCAAAUAGGAUUAGAAACCCUAGUAGUCC